UCCGGUGGUCAUGGCGGAGGGGAAACGCCCGGUUACAUUCCGAACCCGGAAGCUAAGCUCUCCAGCGCCGAUGGUACUGCACGGGGGACCGUGUGGGAGAGUAGGUCGCCGCCGGAC
Molecule: ribosomal RNA, 117 nt
Filed under: Streptomyces sp. 7-21
Lineage: Bacteria; Bacillati; Actinomycetota; Actinomycetes; Kitasatosporales; Streptomycetaceae
Also listed under: 1 other name
Source: RNAcentral